Molecule: ribosomal RNA, 507 nt
Filed under: uncultured bacterium
Lineage: Bacteria
Description: bacterial SSU rRNA
Rfam family: Bacterial small subunit ribosomal RNA
Source: RNAcentral
GACGAACGCUGGCGGCGUGCCUAAUACAUGCAAGUCGAGCGGACCAAAGGGAGCUUGCUCCUGGAGGUUAGCGGCGAACGGGUGAGUAACACGUGGGCAACCUGCCUGUAAGACUGGGAUAACAUCGAGAAAUCGGUGCUAAUACCGGAUAAUAAAAGAACUGCAUGGUUCUUUUUGAAGAUGGUUUCGGCUAUCACUUACAGAUGGCCGCGGCGCAUUAGCUAGUUGGUGAGGUAACGGCUCACCAAGGCGACGAUGCGUAGCCGACCUGAGAGGGUGAUCGGCCACACUGGGACUGAGACACGGCCCAGACUCCUACGGGAGGCAGCAGUAGGGAAUCUUCCGCAAUGGACGAAAGUCUGACGGAGCAACGCCGCGUGAGUGAUGAAGGUUUUCGGAUCGUAAAACUCUGUUGUUAGGGAAGAACAAGUGCCGUUCGAAAGGGCGGCACCUUGACGGUACCUAACGAGAAAGCCACGGCUAACUACGUGCCAGCAGCCGCGGUAA